AGCGAACGCUGGCGGCAGGCCUAACACAUGCAAGUCGAACGAACCUUUCGGGGUUAGUGGCGGACGGGUGAGUAACACGUGGGAACGUGCCUUUAGGUUCGGAAUAACUCAGGGAAACUUGUGCUAAUACCGAAUGUGCCCUUCGGGGGAAAGAUUUAUCGCCUUUAGAGCGGCCGGCGUCUGAUUAGCUAGUUGGUUGAGGUAAUGGCUCAGCAAGGCGACGAUCAGUAGCUGGUCUGAGAGGAUGAUCAGCCACAUUGGGACUGAGACACGGCCCAAACUCCUACGGGAGGCAGCAGUGGGGAAUCUUGCGCAAUGGGCGAAAGCCUGACGCAGCCAUGCCGCGUGAAUGAUGAAGGUCUUAGGAUUGUAAAAUUCUUUCACCGGGGACGAUAAUGACGGUACCCGGAGAAGAAGCCCCGGCUAACUUCGUG
This 434-nucleotide ribosomal RNA is filed under the name uncultured bacterium. RNAcentral describes it as "partial 16S ribosomal RNA". It matches the Rfam family "Bacterial small subunit ribosomal RNA", at positions 29 to 507 of the family's 1533-position model. The record is from RNAcentral.